RNAcentral lists this transfer RNA (77 nucleotides) under Pseudonocardia sp. RNAcentral describes it as "tRNA-Ile". It matches the Rfam family "tRNA". Rfam says of the family: Transfer RNA (tRNA) molecules are approximately 80 nucleotides in length. Their secondary structure includes four short double-helical elements and three loops (D, anti-codon, and T loops). Lineage: Bacteria; Bacillati; Actinomycetota; Actinomycetes; Pseudonocardiales; Pseudonocardiaceae. The record is from RNAcentral.
GGGCCUAUAGCUCAGUUGGUUAGAGCGCAUCGCUGAUAACGAUGAGGUCGCUGGUUCAAAUCCAGCUAGGCCCACCA